This 675-nucleotide ribosomal RNA is filed under the name Dovyalis hebecarpa. Its description in RNAcentral is "eukaryotic LSU rRNA". The stretch from base 255 to 410 matches the Rfam family "5.8S ribosomal RNA". Lineage: Eukaryota; Viridiplantae; Streptophyta; Magnoliopsida; Malpighiales; Salicaceae. The record is from RNAcentral.
GUGAACCUGCGGAAGGAUCAUUGUCGAAACCUGCCCGGCAGAACGACCUGCGAACUUGUGGCCGAGCAUGCUAGGGCUGCAGGGGGCUCUUGUCCCCUGCGUCCCUUGGGGCCGCGGACGGGUGCAUCUGCACCCGACGCAGCUCGAAAACAAACCCCGGCGCGAGAAGCGCCAAGGAACUAGAGUACGAAGAGCGCGCCCCCGUCGCUGAAGGGUGCUCUGGGGGUGCGUCUCCAAUUUGCGAUAAGCUAAACGACUCUCGGCAACGGAUAUCUUGGCUCUUGCAUCGAUGAAGAACGUAGCGAAAUGCGAUACUUGGUGUGAAUUGCAGAAUCCCGUGAGCCAUCGAGUUUUUGAACGCAAGUUGCGCCCGAGGCCUCAUGGCCGAGGGCACGUCUGCCUGGGUGUCACGCAUCGUCGCCCCCAAACCCCUCUCGGCCAAGGAGGGCGGGGGGCGGAUACUGGUCUCCCGCGUGUGCUUCCGCUCGUGGUUGGCCCAAAAUUGAGUCCUCGGCGACGGCUGCCACGACGAGCGGUGGUUGAGAGAACCCUUGAAAGCGGUCGUGCGCAUGCCCUGUUGCGCUUUGGGAUAUCCAAGACCCUCGAGCAUCAUCGGCUUUGCUAGGAUGCUCUCGCUGCGACCCCAGGUCAGGCGGGACUACCCGCUGAGUUUAA